RNAcentral lists this ribosomal RNA (1614 nucleotides) under Escherichia coli. RNAcentral describes it as "partial 23S ribosomal RNA". It matches the Rfam family "Bacterial large subunit ribosomal RNA", at positions 1270 to 2864 of the family's 2925-position model. The record is from RNAcentral. RNAcentral also lists the same sequence under 1 other name. Lineage: Bacteria; Pseudomonadati; Pseudomonadota; Gammaproteobacteria; Enterobacterales; Enterobacteriaceae.
AUGCUGGAGGUAUCAGAAGUGCGAAUGCUGACAUAAGUAACGAUAAAGCGGGUGAAAAGCCCGCUCGCCGGAAGACCAAGGGUUCCUGUCCAACGUUAAUCGGGGCAGGGUGAGUCGACCCCUAAGGCGAGGCCGAAAGGCGUAGUCGAUGGGAAACAGGUUAAUAUUCCUGUACUUGGUGUUACUGCGAAGGGGGGACGGAGAAGGCUAUGUUGGCCGGGCGACGGUUGUCCCGGUUUAAGCGUGUAGGCUGGUUUUCCAGGCAAAUCCGGAAAAUCAAGGCUGAGGCGUGAUGACGAGGCACUACGGUGCUGAAGCAACAAAUGCCCUGCUUCCAGGAAAAGCCUCUAAGCAUCAGGUAACAUCAAAUCGUACCCCAAACCGACACAGGUGGUCAGGUAGAGAAUACCAAGGCGCUUGAGAGAACUCGGGUGAAGGAACUAGGCAAAAUGGUGCCGUAACUUCGGGAGAAGGCACGCUGAUAUGUAGGUGAAGUCCCUCGCGGAUGGAGCUGAAAUCAGUCGAAGAUACCAGCUGGCUGCAACUGUUUAUUAAAAACACAGCACUGUGCAAACACGAAAGUGGACGUAUACGGUGUGACGCCUGCCCGGUGCCGGAAGGUUAAUUGAUGGGGUCAGCGCAAGCGAAGCUCUUGAUCGAAGCCCCGGUAAACGGCGGCCGUAACUAUAACGGUCCUAAGGUAGCGAAAUUCCUUGUCGGGUAAGUUCCGACCUGCACGAAUGGCGUAAUGAUGGCCAGGCUGUCUCCACCCGAGACUCAGUGAAAUUGAACUCGCUGUGAAGAUGCAGUGUACCCGCGGCAAGACGGAAAGACCCCGUGAACCUUUACUAUAGCUUGACACUGAACAUUGAGCCUUGAUGUGUAGGAUAGGUGGGAGGCUUUGAAGUGUGGACGCCAGUCUGCAUGGAGCCGACCUUGAAAUACCACCCUUUAAUGUUUGAUGUUCUAACGUUGACCCGUAAUCCGGGUUGCGGACAGUGUCUGGUGGGUAGUUUGACUGGGGCGGUCUCCUCCUAAAGAGUAACGGAGGAGCACGAAGGUUGGCUAAUCCUGGUCGGACAUCAGGAGGUUAGUGCAAUGGCAUAAGCCAGCUUGACUGCGAGCGUGACGGCGCGAGCAGGUGCGAAAGCAGGUCAUAGUGAUCCGGUGGUUCUGAAUGGAAGGGCCAUCGCUCAACGGAUAAAAGGUACUCCGGGGAUAACAGGCUGAUACCGCCCAAGAGUUCAUAUCGACGGCGGUGUUUGGCACCUCGAUGUCGGCUCAUCACAUCCUGGGGCUGAAGUAGGUCCCAAGGGUAUGGCUGUUCGCCAUUUAAAGUGGUACGCGAGCUGGGUUUAGAACGUCGUGAGACAGUUCGGUCCCUAUCUGCCGUGGGCGCUGGAGAACUGAGGGGGGCUGCUCCUAGUACGAGAGGACCGGAGUGGACGCAUCACUGGUGUUCGGGUUGUCAUGCCAAUGGCACUGCCCGGUAGCUAAAUGCGGAAGAGAUAAGUGCUGAAAGCAUCUAAGCACGAAACUUGCCCCGAGAUGAGUUCUCCCUGACUCCUUGAGAGUCCUGAAGGAACGUUGAAGACGACGACGUUGAUAGGCCGG